Molecule: ribosomal RNA, 237 nt
Filed under: uncultured bacterium
Lineage: Bacteria
Description: partial 16S ribosomal RNA
Rfam family: Bacterial small subunit ribosomal RNA
Source: RNAcentral
CCGGCACGGGUGAGUAACACGUAUCCAACCUGCCGUCUACUCUUGGACAGCCUUCUGAAAGGAAGAUUAAUACAAGAUGGCAUCAUGAGUCCGCAUGUUCACAUGAUUAAAGGUGUUCCGGUAGACGAUGGGGAUGCGUUCCAUUAGAUAGUAGGCGGGGUAACGGCCCACCUAGCCUUCGAUGGAUAGGGGUUCUGAGAGGAAGGUCCCCCACAUUGGAACUGAGACACGGUCCAA